CAUCCUUGCCCCACUGAAUGGCAGAGGUGGAGUUUGUCCAACCACUGACCCCUCUCUCCUUGCCCUCCAUCAUGUCCAGCUCCAGCCAGUGGUAAAUAGGCAGCCAUCGCUUGCCCAGAAUUCUCACCAUGUUAUGCUGUGGGGCACCUAUGAGUUGCUACAGGAAGAGGAAAUUUGGACACAAACCUGUACGGAGGGAAGACCAUCUGAAGACAGAGGGAGAAGAUGGCCAUCUACAAGGCAAGGAGAGAGGUCUCAGAAGAAAUCAACCCUGGCAACACCUUGAUCUUGGAUUUUCCGCCUUCAGAAUUCUUAUUUGCUGGUUCACUUUGCCGGUGUGGGGCAGCAGCCUGCAGCAACUCCAGCUCCUGCUGGAUCUUCUCCUUCAGCUUCUCUGAUUCCUGGGUCUCCUCAUGUUUAGCUUAGCGACGAAGGGUGGAACCUUCUCCUGCAGGGAAGCCUCAUUAUCGAAGUGGUUGGCUGGAGGUGCUGAGAGGCUAAUGCAGGUCCCAGCUCAUCCUCAUAGGUUCCUCUCAUUCUUGCAGUUGCCAGAUUCUCCUUGCUUCUCCCAGCUGCCUGCUCUUCAGACUUCAGCCUGCUGCACCAGACACAGAAGGCUGUCUAACCAGACAGUCUUUAACAGUACCGUAGACUGUUUAUCCAGUUCCCACAACUGUGUAAUGAGAAAUGUCUUCAAUAA
Molecule: non-coding RNA, 700 nt
Organism: Equus caballus (horse)
Lineage: Eukaryota; Metazoa; Chordata; Mammalia; Perissodactyla; Equidae
Source: RefSeq, a predicted model, not a curated record